RNAcentral lists this long non-coding RNA (1034 nucleotides) under Equus caballus (horse). RNAcentral describes it as "lncRNA (ENSECAG00000050164.1)". Lineage: Eukaryota; Metazoa; Chordata; Mammalia; Perissodactyla; Equidae. The record is from RNAcentral.
CUGUUUUUGCUGAGGAAGGUUGGCCCUGAGCUAACAUCCGUGCCCAACUUCCUCUACUUUACGCGUGGGACGCCUGCCACAGCAUGGCUUGCUAAGUGGUAUGUAGGCCCGCACCAGGGAUCCGAACUGGCAAACCCUGGGCUGCUGAAGCAGAGUGUGCGAACUUAACCACUGUGCCACCGGGCCAGCCCGCCAGUGCCUCAAUUUUGAUUAGGGUUUAUUUAGAUAAUACAUUUUAAAAUGUUUUGGAAAAUACAAUAGAUAAUGAUUCCCCAAAAUAGGAUAACAUGAUAAGUAUUAACCAGCCUUUGUGAUUGUUCUUUGACUUGUAGUGAAUGGACAAAAGGCGAUAGAAUCUAGUUGCCCAAAAUAGCUUUGAAUUCCUAAAGAUCAAAUUCGACUUUCCAUUGUUUAUCUAAUUGCUGUGUGAAUAAAUGGGAAGAUAACCCCACAUUUUAUUCUAAUAGACCACAGCUGUUUAGUCAAUGCAUUUUGUGACAUGACGAUGCACUUUAAUAUUGGAGUCUUUAUUACAUUUUUUCCAGACCCUCAAAUGUUAGAAGAUAAAGAGAUCCUAGGUAUUUUUAAAGCCUAUCUCCCUGAAGGAACUAAAGCUGCAUUCUCUGAGUUUCCAAUGACCCCUGUAAUGGAGGGAUGGCUUUGCAUAGAGCAUCCUCUUGAUUAUAGAGAGGAUAAAAGAAUCCUAAAGACGGUGGAAACAAUACUGGUAAGAAAGCCACAAAAAAUAGGUUCUGAGGGAGUGGAUGAUCGAUUCUGAAAUAUUGGUAAAGAGGCGAAUGUGGCACAGAAGAAACAGAGGAACGUAGGACGGAAUUAUUUCCCAUGGACGGUGAUUCAUUCCAAAGGGCUCCCCUCUCUGAGCUGGGAUUCCUCCCUGGAAGAUGCCAGUAGAAGGCACAAUCUGCCCAAAAGAAACUUAGAACAAGAAGAUGUGGGAGGAAAGGCACAUUUCAGGAAUAUACAUACCUAAAGGACAAAACAAAUCCAAAAGUUGGAUCAAGGGAAACAUCUGG